AUGAAACACUCCUACGGGAGGCAGCAGUGAGGAAUAUUGGACAAUGGUCGGAAGACUGAUCCAGCCAUGCUGCGUGCAGGAUGACGGCCUUAUGGGUUGUAAACUGCUUUUGUAAGGGAAGAAUAAGGGCUACGUGUAGUUUGAUGACGGUACCUUAUGAAUAAGCAUCGGCUAACUCCGUGCCAGCAGCCGCGGUAAUACGGAGGAUGCGAGCGUUAUCCGGAAUCAUUGGGUUUAAAGGGUCUGUAGGCGGGCUGGUAAGUCAGAGGUGAAAGCGCUUAGCUCAACUAAGCAACUGCCUUUGAAACUGUUGGUCUUGAAUGGUUGUGAAGUAGUUGGAAUGUGUAGUGUAGCGGUGAAAUGCUUAGAUAUUACACAGAACACCGAUAGCGAAGGCAUAUUACUAACAAUUGAUUGACGCUGAUGGACGAAGGCGUGGGGAGCGAACAGGAUUAGAAACCCCAGUAGUCCGAAGUUC
This 478-nucleotide ribosomal RNA is filed under the name uncultured bacterium. RNAcentral's name for it is "bacterial SSU rRNA". It matches the Rfam family "Bacterial small subunit ribosomal RNA", at positions 328 to 802 of the family's 1533-position model. The record is from RNAcentral.